GACUUCCUUAGAAACCAGCUCAGGAAGAGCAUGAUCGUCUGCACCAAAUACAGAAAGGGAGGGUGAAUGUAAUAAUAUCGGUAUCCUCUGUACAGAUACGUUAGGCCCCCGUUAUAAUGCAAUGAUUUAAACAGAGGAAUCACGACACAUACAGAGUGUAUCAAACACUUAUUUUUACUGCAAUGUCACACGUUUUAAUAACUUAUGGACAUAUAUCAACCUGGAGAUUUAUUCUAGAAGAAAUUCACACAUUUAGUUAAUUUUUUAUCUUUAUUACUUAAGGACUAGGUUAUUGUUUUCUUUAUCAUGUCUUCUUUUGGUUUUGUCUUCAGUCUGUUGUUGUAAAUGCUGCUUUAAUACUGCGCUGUUUGCUUUAAGGCCUAAUAAUUGAUUGCAGUGGUUAUGGUGUUAGUAGGAUUAUGUGUGUCUCUUCUCCCAGAGAUGGUCCCUUGCUAGCAGAACACACGUUACUAUAUCAGUUUGGUCCGUAUUGGGAGGCAGUGAUAGGCUGAGUGAUUCUGUACCUGUAAACUGCGAUUCUGUAAUCAAUUCCAGUGUAAUAUGUUUUCUAUCAGGCAGUAAAGGGUACUAAUUAUUAAAUGAA
Non-coding RNA from Pelobates cultripes (western spadefoot toad), 604 nucleotides. The record is from the annotation of a GenBank genome assembly. NCBI's taxonomy places the organism in Eukaryota, Metazoa, Chordata, Amphibia, Anura, Pelobatidae.